RNAcentral lists this ribosomal RNA (254 nucleotides) under uncultured bacterium. RNAcentral's name for it is "partial 16S ribosomal RNA". It matches the Rfam family "Bacterial small subunit ribosomal RNA", at positions 524 to 776 of the family's 1533-position model. The record is from RNAcentral.
UACGGAGGGGGGCUAGCGUUGUUCGGAAUUACUGGGCGUAAAGCGUACGUAGGCGGUUAUUCAAGUCAGAGGUGAAAGCCCGGGGCUCAACCCCGGAACUGCCUUUGAAACUAGAUAGCUAGAAUCUUGGAGAGGUCAGUGGAAUUCCGAGUGUAGAGGUGAAAUUCGUAGAUAUUCGGAAGAACACCAGUGGCGAAGGCGACUGACUGGACAAGUAUUGACGCUGAGGUACGAAAGCGUGGGGAGCAAACAGG